RNAcentral lists this ribosomal RNA (519 nucleotides) under Triticum aestivum (bread wheat). Its description in RNAcentral is "partial small subunit ribosomal RNA". Lineage: Eukaryota; Viridiplantae; Streptophyta; Magnoliopsida; Poales; Poaceae. The record is from RNAcentral.
AUGAAAGACCUUGGUGUGGCUGAUGUUAUCUUGAACAUCAAGCUACUGAGAGAUAAUGAGGGUGGGAUCACACUUCUGCAAUCCCAUUACGUUGAGAAGGUGUUGAGUCGUUUUGGAUAUUCGGACUGCACACCAUCUCAAACACCAUAUGAUCCUAGUGUAUUGAUUCGAAAGUCCAAAGGCAUGGCUAAAGAUCAAUUGAGAUACUCUCAAAUCAUUGGUUCACUGAUGUACCUAGCGAGCGCAACGAGGCCUGACAUCGCGUUUGCUGUGAAGGCCACAACUGGGUAUAUGUUUACUCUUGGAGGUGGCGCUGUUUCCUGGAAGUCUUGCAAGCAAACGAUCUUAACGAGAUCGACAAUGGAAGCAGAAUUAACGGCAUUAGACACAUCUGGUGUUGAAGCGAGAUGGCUUCGAGAUCUUUUGAUGGACUUGCCAUUGGUUGAUAAACCGGUUCCGGCUAUCCUUAUGAACUGUGACAAUCAGACUAGCGAUCUUUGGAGGAACACACCUAUAUGA